RNAcentral lists this ribosomal RNA (446 nucleotides) under uncultured bacterium. Its description in RNAcentral is "partial 16S ribosomal RNA". It matches the Rfam family "Bacterial small subunit ribosomal RNA", at positions 338 to 795 of the family's 1533-position model. The record is from RNAcentral.
CCUACGGGAGGCUGCAGUCGAGAAUCAUUCACAAUGGGGGAAACCCUGAUGGUGCGACGCCGCGUGGGGGAAUGAAGGUCUUCGGAUUGUAAACCCCUGUCAUGUGGGAGCAAAUUAAAAAGAUAGUACCACAAGAGGAAGAGACGGCUAACUCUGUGCCAGCAGCCGCGGUAAUACAGAGGUCUCAAGCGUUGUUCGGAAUCACUGGGCGUAAAGGGUGCGUAGGCUGUUUCGUAAGGCGUGUGUGAAAGGCGCGGGCUCAACCCGCGGAAGGCACAUGAUACUGCGAGACUAGAGUAAUGGAGGGGGAACCGGAAUUCUCGGUGUAGCAGUGAAAUGCGUAGAUAUCGAGAGGAACACUCGUGGCGAAGGCGGGUUCCUGGACAUUAACUGACGCUGAUGCACGAAAGCGUGGGGAGCAAACAGGAUUAGAUACCCGUGUAGUC